AUACAGAAAGACACCCCACAGCACACCUGAGCAAGGGGCAGAAGCAUCCAUGUCAGCAAGUGUGGGGAGAAGCCCCAGAGCUGGAGGGCUCUGCUUUGAGAUUCGGGCUGAGUGGAUGAAGCAGUCUGAGCAGGCUGCACAGGAAAUCGGAGCUUUCGGUGCUAAAUGCUCUGCUUUGUGAGGUUCGGAUCACAGAGAAAGCUGGAGUCGUGGGCGCCGGGGACAAAGGCUGAAUUGGGGAACUCCAUCCUGCUCCAGGGAGCAAACAUCUCUGGCUAUGCCUUCCACACCCACAGAGCACAGAUCUGUUCCAUCACUUGGUCAAGACGAACUUGAGCCCGCCUGCUCCUUCUGCAUUUUCAAAUUGGAUGCUGUGAGGGAGGAGGAGCCGAGAUCUCUCCUGAUGCUGAGAGUCCAUCUUUGGACUUUUAAUGAAAGCUCUGCUGAAGCAGACCACUCAGCUCAGACAAGUGUGGGAGGCAUUUUCUCCUUUACAGAGCAGAGAUCUCAUGGGCAGUUGCUGGAGAGAAAUGAGGUGUCACGGGGGCUGGUGGGAUGAGCUGUCUCUUGCCCACUGUUGGGGGAGUCUCUGAUCCAUACCAGGUUCCAAGGCAGUGGUGCCUAGUGGUCCUCUACAUGCCUGGCAGAAUCUACUGGACUAGAAGGUACUGGCCCUGUCCUCAAGGUGUUUGGAAACUUUUGCUCAGGCCUUACAACUGUUUUGAAGAGUAGCGGUCAUCAGUGCUGUGCUUUGACAGUAUCAGGCUUGAAUUAAGUUCCAAAGCGUGACUCCACAGCGUCCUCUUCAAGCAAUUCUGUCAGAGGCUAGUGACCCUUGUGUCCAAGAGGCUUGAACCAGCCACAAGCCAGGAGUAGAAACUAACGCAUGAGCAAAUAAUGCCAGGCACCCUGGUGACCAGCCACACAGAGCUCUGGAUGCCUGAAGAUUCCACCCCCAGGGAAGCACGGCUUGCUUCUAGGUGAAAGCUAGCCUCUUGAGUUUUCCUUGCCUCCCUCGGCUUCCCCAUGUGGAGUAGUAUCGGUCACUUCGUCUGCCUUACUGAUUAGUUCUGCGAACUUGCCAGGUGUUCACUCAUUGUUUCACUUCAUCUUUUGUAACUUCUGCAAACACCAGAGUGUCACCCUUGGGUGACCAAUGAUGUUGAUGUGGGAAGGAGUGCAGCCGGCAUGGCUGGGCCCAGGAGCUGGCUUCAAACGAAGCGGAGACAGAGGGCAUGCACAUGACUCCAUACUGAGGUCAUCGUUUAUGAGUUCAUCAAGGGAAUGCAAAACACACGUCAUAGGGACAGAUAAGCGAGAACUUGCCAGAGGAAGGGAUGUGUGAGCGGGACCUCGAGGGUUUCUGUUUUUUCACCAUUUGGGUCCUGCACAUUGCAAUCCAGUGGUUGGACUCGGCAGCAAGCACCUUUACCCAUGGAACCCUCUCACCGGCUCCGAACUUACAGCAUUUUUAUAACGACUUCAUCAGGAUGUACCCUCAUCCUAAAUCAAGAGCAUCCAUACAACACUACAAGACCACAGUGUUGCACGUUAGAAGGGCAGAUUUUUGCCUUAGUUAGCCUUAGUUAAAGGUAUUUAUGAUAAAAAUUCAAGGGAAUAAAGAAAAACAGGAAGUGA
Molecule: long non-coding RNA, 1638 nt
Organism: Peromyscus leucopus (white-footed mouse)
Lineage: Eukaryota; Metazoa; Chordata; Mammalia; Rodentia; Cricetidae
Exons: 2
Source: RefSeq, a predicted model, not a curated record